RNAcentral lists this ribosomal RNA (611 nucleotides) under Oenococcus oeni. RNAcentral's name for it is "bacterial SSU rRNA". It matches the Rfam family "Bacterial small subunit ribosomal RNA", at positions 48 to 626 of the family's 1533-position model. Lineage: Bacteria; Bacillati; Bacillota; Bacilli; Lactobacillales; Lactobacillaceae. The record is from RNAcentral.
CUAAUACAUGCAAGUCGUACGCUAGCCGCUGAAUUGAUCCUUCGGGUGAAGUGAGGCAAUGACUAGAGUGGCGAACUGGUGAGUAACACGUAAGAAACCUGCCCUUUAGUGGGGGAUAACAUUUGGAAACAGAUGCUAAUACCGCGUAACAACAAAUCACACAUGUGAUCUGUUUGAAAGGUCCUUUUGGAUCGCUAGAGGAUGGUCUUGCGGCGUAUUAGCUUGUUGGUAGGGUAGAAGCCUACCAAGGCAAUGAUGCGUAGCCGAGUUGAGAGACUGGCCGGCCACAUUGGGACUGAGACACUGCCCAAACUCCUACGGGAGGCUGCAGUAGGGAAUUUUCCGCAAUGCACGAAAGUGUGACGGAGCGACGCCGCGUGUGUGAUGAAGGCUUUCGGGUCGUAAAGCACUGUUGUAAGGGAAGAAUAACUGAAUUCAGAGAAAGUUUUCAGCUUGACGGUACCUUACCAGAAAGGGAUGGCUAAAUACGUGCCAGCAGCCGCGGUAAUACGUAUGUCCCGAGCGUUAUCCGGAUUUAUUGGGCGUAAAGCGAGCGCAGACGGUUUAUUAAGUCUGAUGUGAAAUCCCGAGGCCCAACCUCGGAACUGCAU